UACGUAGGGACCAAGCGUUGUUCGGAUUUACUGGGCGUAAAGGGCGCGUAGGCGGCUUAACAAGUCACUUGUGAAAUCUCCGGGCUUAACUCGGAACGGCCAAGUGAAACUGUCAAGCUAGAGUGCAGAAGGGGCAAUCGGAAUUCUCGGUGUGGCGGUGAAAUGCGUAGAUAUCGAGAGGAACACCUGCGGCGAAGGCGGGUUGCUGGGCUGACACUGACGCUGAGGCGCGAAAGCCAGGGGAGCGAACGGG
RNAcentral lists this ribosomal RNA (253 nucleotides) under uncultured bacterium. RNAcentral's name for it is "partial 16S ribosomal RNA". It matches the Rfam family "Bacterial small subunit ribosomal RNA", at positions 524 to 776 of the family's 1533-position model. The record is from RNAcentral.